This is a long non-coding RNA of Triticum aestivum (bread wheat), 939 nucleotides long. RefSeq lists it as uncharacterized. The transcript has 2 exons. NCBI's taxonomy places the organism in Eukaryota, Viridiplantae, Streptophyta, Magnoliopsida, Poales, Poaceae. The record is from RefSeq and is a predicted model, not a curated record.
GUGGUCAAUUAUGAAUGACGAUGCAGCCCGCAGGUAAUCAUUUGUGUUAUUUGCCUAUCUUUUCCAGGUUCGUCAUAUCCAUAGCCUAUGUAUUUCAUCGUCCCAUGUGAUUCAAGCUGGGCCAUAUAGUUGUAUGCUAGAUUGGUAUGUACUAUAUACAUCUGGAUGACAGUGAGGAUUAAAGAGUGUCGUUAUUUCCAAUGGAAAAAUGCCUAAAUCUCGCUGUCCACUAAUUCACGGCAAUGAAAUUCUCUAACUCUGCAAAAAUCGCUUUGAUGUUGUACCAGCUGGAGCUUUUUCGUCUUCUGAAUUGAACAGGCAGGAGUUUAGUUUGGUGUUCUCAAAGAGGCCAUAGUUUGAUGUCCUAAAUCUAAUUUGGCCUUUCAAGUUAGAUAUUAUCCAUGUAUAAAUACAGAUUUCCUUGAAUAUGUAUUGUUUUGAUCAACACAAAAUAGCUCUAGCCUCUCGUACAAUUUUCAGUGUCGUGCAUGGGUGGUUUUUGUGCAGUUAUGUUGAUCUGCAUGCAUUUUCUGCAUUAUAGUGUUGAUAUGUCUCAGUAAAAUAGUGAGUACAUAUAACGUAUGCAAGCUACAACCAGUUAGUUUUGUUACUAAUCCAUUGAUCCUUUGUUACAUUCCAAGAGUCAGGGUACCGGCACCCAAAUAAAUUCAGGCCAGUCCUCGAUGUGAAGAAGCUAAGGGAGGCGGAUCCCGACCCUUAUGACAGCCAAAAUUAGGCCGCCACUCGUCUCUCUCCUGCACCUGCUAUUCAGAUGGCCAACAACACUUCGUGAGCAAUGACUGCUGUCCAGUUAAGAGCAAGAAAGAUCUUGCUGUUACUUGUCUUUUCAACAGUUCUUCUGUGUGGAAGGCUCUUUGCUCACACUCAAAUACUACCUCUGAAACAUGGAAGAAGGAAAAGGUUACUCUUCUGAUCUUG